Molecule: transfer RNA, 62 nt
Filed under: Bostrichoidea sp. 3 KM-2017
Lineage: Eukaryota; Metazoa; Arthropoda; Insecta; Coleoptera
Description: tRNA-Arg
Source: RNAcentral
AAUAAGAAGCAAAUAAUUGCAUUUAGUUUCGACCUAAAAUUUUGAUGAACCCAUCCUUAUUU